Etheostoma cragini (Arkansas darter) is the source of this 331-nucleotide long non-coding RNA. RefSeq lists it as uncharacterized. NCBI's taxonomy places the organism in Eukaryota, Metazoa, Chordata, Actinopteri, Perciformes, Percidae. The transcript has 2 exons. The record is from RefSeq and is a predicted model, not a curated record.
UACAGGUCGCUCAUGGGGGAGCCAAGAUUUGGCUCUGACUCUAAACACAGCCAGCACUCAACCUGAAGCUGAAUCACUCUGCACAUAGUGGACCAUUGAGCCCAGGAGGAAGGAAGAGAAGAGUUAAACCGUGUAGAGUGAAAGGCUUGGAGAUGACAGGUCCUGUUCAAGGGACGAGUAAGCAGUGAUAAGAGUCGGGGAGAGAGCGCACACACUGCAGAUAGAACCACCUGCCACAGAGAAAGCAGGAGAGGGCUUAGACAUCUCCCAUCGAGAUACACUUUUUUAAUAAUCUUAAUAGAGGGAGGCAAGGAGAUGUUUUCAUUUACCU